UUAAGCGACUAAGCGUACACGGUGGAUGCCCUGGCAGUCAGAGGCGAUGAAGGACGUGCUAAUCUGCGAUAAGCGUCGGUAAGGUGAUAUGAACCGUUAUAACCGGCGAUUUCCGAAUGGGGAAACCCAGUGUGAUUCGUCACACUAUCAUUAACUGAAUCCAUAGGUUAAUGAGGCGAACCGGGGGAACUGAAACAUCUAAGUACCCCGAGGAAAAGAAAUCAACCGAGAUUCCCCCAGUAGCGGCGAGCGAACGGGGAGGAGCCCAGAGCCUGAAUCAGUGUGUGUGUUAGUGGAAGCGUCUGGAAAGGCGCGCGAUACAGGGUGACAGCCCCGUACACAAAAAUGCACAUACUGUGAGCUCGAUGAGUAGGGCGGGACACGUGGUAUCCUGUCUGAAUAUGGGGGGACCAUCCUCCAAGGCUAAAUACUCCUGACUGACCGAUAGUGAACCAGUACCGUGAGGGAAAGGCGAAAAGAACCCCGGCGAGGGGAGUGAAAAAGAACCUGAAACCGUGUACGUACAAGCAGUGGGAGCCUCUUUUAUGGGGUGACUGCGUACCUUUUGUAUAAUGGGUCAGCGACUUAUAUUCUGUAGCAAGGUUAACCGAAUAGGGGAGCCGAAGGGAAACCGAGUCUUAACCGGGCGUUAAGUUGCAGGGUAUAGACCCGAAACCCGGUGAUCUAGCCAUGGGCAGGUUGAAGGUUGGGUAACACUAACUGGAGGACCGAACCGACUAAUGUUGAAAAAUUAGCGGAUGACUUGUGGCUGGGGGUGAAAGGCCAAUCAAACCGGGAGAUAGCUGGUUCUCCCCGAAAGCUAUUUAGGUAGCGCCUCGUGAAUUCAUCUCCGGGGGUAGAGCACUGUUUCGGCAAGGGGGUCAUCCCGACUUACCAACCCGAUGCAAACUGCGAAUACCGGAGAAUGUUAUCACGGGAGACAUACGGCGGGUGCUAACGUCCGUCGUGAAGAGGGAAACAACCCAGACCGCCAGCUAAGGUCCCAAAGUCAUGGUUAAGUGGGAAACGAUGUGGGAAGGCCCAGACAGCCAGGAUGUUGGCUUAGAAGCAGCCAUCAUUUAAAGAAAGCGUAAUAGCUCACUGGUCGAGUCGGCCUGCGCGGAAGAUGUAACGGGGCUAAACCAUGCACCGAAGCUGCGGCAGCGACACUGUGUGUUGUUGGGUAGGGGAGCGUUCUGUAAGCCUGUGAAGGUGUACUGUGAGGUAUGCUGGAGGUAUCAGAAGUGCGAAUGCUGACAUAAGUAACGAUAAAGCGGGUGAAAAGCCCGCUCGCCGGAAGACCAAGGGUUCCUGUCCAACGUUAAUCGGGGCAGGGUGAGUCGACCCCUAAGGCGAGGCCGAAAGGCGUAGUCGAUGGGAAACAGGUUAAUAUUCCUGUACUUGGUGUUACUGCGAAGGGGGGACGGAGAAGGCUAUGUUGGCCGGGCGACGGUUGUCCCGGUUUAAGCGUGUAGGCUGGUUUUCCAGGCAAAUCCGGAAAAUCAAGGCUGAGGCGUGAUGACGAGGCACUACGGUGCUGAAGCAACAAAUGCCCUGCUUCCAGGAAAAGCCUCUAAGCAUCAGGUAACAUCAAAUCGUACCCCAAACCGACACAGGUGGUCAGGUAGAGAAUACCAAGGCGCUUGAGAGAACUCGGGUGAAGGAACUAGGCAAAAUGGUGCCGUAACUUCGGGAGAAGGCACGCUGAUAUGUAGGUGAAGUCCCUCGCGGAUGGAGCUGAAAUCAGUCGAAGAUACCAGCUGGCUGCAACUGUUUAUUAAAAACACAGCACUGUGCAAACACGAAAGUGGACGUAUACGGUGUGACGCCUGCCCGGUGCCGGAAGGUUAAUUGAUGGGGUCAGCGCAAGCGAAGCUCUUGAUCGAAGCCCCGGUAAACGGCGGCCGUAACUAUAACGGUCCUAAGGUAGCGAAAUUCCUUGUCGGGUAAGUUCCGACCUGCACGAAUGGCGUAAUGAUGGCCAGGCUGUCUCCACCCGAGACUCAGUGAAAUUGAACUCGCUGUGAAGAUGCAGUGUACCCGCGGCAAGACGGAAAGACCCCGUGAACCUUUACUAUAGCUUGACACUGAACAUUGAGCCUUGAUGUGUAGGAUAGGUGGGAGGCUUUGAAGUGUGGACGCCAGUCUGCAUGGAGCCGACCUUGAAAUACCACCCUUUAAUGUUUGAUGUUCUAACGUGGACCCGUGAUCCGGGUUGCGGACAGUGUCUGGUGGGUAGUUUGACUGGGGCGGUCUCCUCCUAAAGAGUAACGGAGGAGCACGAAGGUUGGCUAAUCCUGGUCGGACAUCAGGAGGUUAGUGCAAUGGCAUAAGCCAGCUUGACUGCGAGCGUGACGGCGCGAGCAGGUGCGAAAGCAGGUCAUAGUGAUCCGGUGGUUCUGAAUGGAAGGGCCAUCGCUCAACGGAUAAAAGGUACUCCGGGGAUAACAGGCUGAUACCGCCCAAGAGUUCAUAUCGACGGCGGUGUUUGGCACCUCGAUGUCGGCUCAUCACAUCCUGGGGCUGAAGUAGGUCCCAAGGGUAUGGCUGUUCGCCAUUUAAAGUGGUACGCGAGCUGGGUUUAGAACGUCGUGAGACAGUUCGGUCCCUAUCUGCCGUGGGCGCUGGAGAACUGAGGGGGGCUGCUCCUAGUACGAGAGGACCGGAGUGGACGCAUCACUGGUGUUCGGGUUGUCAUGCCAAUGGCACUGCCCGGUAGCUAAAUGCGGAAGAGAUAAGUGCUGAAAGCAUCUAAGCACGAAACUUGCCCCGAGAUGAGUUCUCCCUGACCCUUUAAGGGUCCUGAAGGAACGUUGAAGACGACGACGUUGAUAGGCCGGGUGUGUAAGCGCAGCGAUGCGUUGAGCUAACCGGUACUAAUGAACCGUGAGGCUUAACCU
This 2900-nucleotide ribosomal RNA is filed under the name Escherichia coli O157:H7 str. Sakai. RNAcentral describes it as "bacterial LSU rRNA". It matches the Rfam family "Bacterial large subunit ribosomal RNA". The record is from RNAcentral. Lineage: Bacteria; Pseudomonadati; Pseudomonadota; Gammaproteobacteria; Enterobacterales; Enterobacteriaceae.